This 228-nucleotide unclassified non-coding RNA is filed under the name Hevea brasiliensis (rubber tree). Lineage: Eukaryota; Viridiplantae; Streptophyta; Magnoliopsida; Malpighiales; Euphorbiaceae. The record is from RNAcentral.
GAAGACGUACUGGAGCAGGCUUUUGAAGGUGGAUGUCCAUGGAGACUACACUCCAAGUUAUGACAAGCACACAUGGCACGAUUAUCGUCUCGAACCUGAGUGAUUGAAUAUUAGCACAUUGCUGUAUCCAUCGGGUAAAAACUGCUAAUGAAUUUUGGUCAGAGCUGGCUCUGGCUAACCAAGAUGUGCUCCUUAUUCUUGUGCAAGAAGGAAGUUACCCAAUUUGCU